Molecule: ribosomal RNA, 1272 nt
Filed under: Kocuria sp. 869_1
Lineage: Bacteria; Bacillati; Actinomycetota; Actinomycetes; Micrococcales; Micrococcaceae
Description: bacterial SSU rRNA
Rfam family: Bacterial small subunit ribosomal RNA
Source: RNAcentral
UGCAAGUCGAACGAUGAUGCCCAGCUUGCUGGGCGGAUUAGUGGCGAACGGGUGAGUAAUACGUGAGUAACCUGCCCUUGACUCUGGGAUAAGCCUGGGAAACUGGGUCUAAUACUGGAUACUACCUCUUACCGCAUGGUGGGUGGUGGAAAGGGUUUUACUGGUUUUGGAUGGGCUCACGGCCUAUCAGCUUGUUGGUGGGGUAAUGGCUCACCAAGGCGACGACGGGUAGCCGGCCUGAGAGGGUGACCGGCCACACUGGGACUGAGACACGGCCCAGACUCCUACGGGAGGCAGCAGUGGGGAAUAUUGCACAAUGGGCGGAAGCCUGAUGCAGCGACGCCGCGUGAGGGAUGACGGCCUUCGGGUUGUAAACCUCUUUCAGUAGGGAAGAAGCGAGAGUGACGGUACCUGCAGAAGAAGCGCCGGCUAACUACGUGCCAGCAGCCGCGGUAAUACGUAGGGCGCAAGCGUUGUCCGGAAUUAUUGGGCGUAAAGAGCUCGUAGGCGGUUUGUCGCGUCUGCUGUGAAAGCCCGGGGCUCAACCCCGGGUCUGCAGUGGGUACGGGCAGACUAGAGUGCAGUAGGGGAGACUGGAAUUCCUGGUGUAGCGGUGAAAUGCGCAGAUAUCAGGAGGAACACCGAUGGCGAAGGCAGGUCUCUGGGCUGUUACUGACGCUGAGGAGCGAAAGCAUGGGGAGCGAACAGGAUUAGAUACCCUGGUAGUCCAUGCCGUAAACGUUGGGCACUAGGUGUGGGGGACAUUCCACGUUUUCCGCGCCGUAGCUAACGCAUUAAGUGCCCCGCCUGGGGAGUACGGCCGCAAGGCUAAAACUCAAAGGAAUUGACGGGGGCCCGCACAAGCGGCGGAGCAUGCGGAUUAAUUCGAUGCAACGCGAAGAACCUUACCAAGGCUUGACAUUCACCGGACCGCCCCAGAGAUGGGGUUUCCCUUCGGGGCUGGUGGACAGGUGGUGCAUGGUUGUCGUCAGCUCGUGUCGUGAGAUGUUGGGUUAAGUCCCGCAACGAGCGCAACCCUCGUUCUAUGUUGCCAGCACGUGAUGGUGGGGACUCAUAGGAGACUGCCGGGGUCAACUCGGAGGAAGGUGGGGAUGACGUCAAAUCAUCAUGCCCCUUAUGUCUUGGGCUUCACGCAUGCUACAAUGGCCGGUACAAAGGGUUGCGAUACUGUGAGGUGGAGCUAAUCCCAAAAAGCCGGUCUCAGUUCGGAUUGAGGUCUGCAACUCGACCUCAUGAAGUCGGAGUCGCUAG